RNA transcript from Carlito syrichta (Philippine tarsier), 704 nucleotides. It is a transcript of the gene named heat shock cognate 71 kDa protein pseudogene, with no coding region annotated. The transcript has a single exon. Lineage: Eukaryota; Metazoa; Chordata; Mammalia; Primates; Tarsiidae. The record is from RefSeq and is a predicted model, not a curated record.
GGUUGGUGGUUCUACUCGUAUCCCCAAGAUCCAGAAGCUUCUACAAGACUUCUUCAAUGGAAAAGAACUGAAUAAGAGCAUCAAUUCUGAUGAGGCUGUUGCUUAUGGUGCAGCUGUCCAGGCAGCCAUCUUAUCUGGAGACAAAUCUGAAAAUGUGCAAGAUUUGCUGCUGUUGGAUGUCACUCCUCUUUCCCUUGGCAUUGAAACUGCUGGUGGAGUCAUGACUGUCCUCAUUAAGCGCAAUACUACCAUUCCUACCAAGCAGACACAGACUUUCACUACCUACUCUGACAACCAGCCUGGUGUGCUUAUUCAGGUUUAUGAGGGUGAGCGUGCCAUGACCAAGGAUAACAAUCUGCUUGGGAAGUUUGAACUCACAGGCAUACCCCCUGCACCCCGUGGUGUUCCUCAAAUUGAAGUCACUUUUGAUAUUGAUGCCAAUGGCAUUCUCAACGUCUCUGCCGUGGAUAAGAGUACAGGAAAAGAGAAUAAAAUCACUAUCACUAAUGACAAGGGUCGUUUGAGCAAGGAAGACAUUGAGCGUAUGGUCCAGGAGGCUGAAUAGUACAAAGCUGAAGAUGAGAAGCAGAGGGACAAAGUGUCAUCCAAGAAUUCACUUGAAAUCCUAUGCCUUUAACAUGAAGGCAACUGUUGAAGAUGAGAAACUUCUAGGCAAGAUCAAUGAUGAGGACAAACAGAAGAUU